UUUAUCUUUUUUUCUCAAUUUUUUGAAUUUUUUCCCUUUCUUUUGUUCUAAAAAAGUCUGCAAAAUAUAUUAAAGAUAUCUUAUUUAUCUCUCUCCUCAGAUUAAUACAAUUAAUUACUUUCCUAAAAUUUCUCUUCCUUCCUUCUUUUUCUGCCGUUCCUUUCUUUCAAAUCGUCAGAAAAUUAAACAUCCCUUAUUUAUGUGAUAUUCUAAAAGUCCAACAAUCAAGUCAUUAAUCCCCUAUAAUUAGCAUUUACUUCCUCCAUUACCCUGGUUAAACAUGAUAAAAACUGUUACUGAAUUUCACAAAAGACACCCGUUUGAUUGCAACUCAUUAAUUAUAGAGAUACUGUAACGUUCCAAAAAAAUUCAUAAAAUUCCUCUAUUUUACUUUUGCCGAAUCUUUAACAAAUGGAAAACAUGCCACUUCGUGAUGAUAAUGAGGAGGACAUGAAAGAACAAACUACACUCGAUGAUCACCAUGAGGAGAAGGAGUUCAUUGAAGAUUGAUUAUGUUUGGCAAUUUUUACUGAAGAUUGAAAAACUGUUUAGUGUUGCAUGAGGUUAAGGUUUGAUCGUUGUAAAGAUAUUCCUCUCCAUGAAUAUCUUUCGCACAAGGUAAAAAAUAAAUGAAUUAUAUCUCUUCCUUUAACCCCUCUUUUCCUUACUUUAUUUUCACUCUCAUUUUUCUCCAAGCUCUUAUCAUAAUAGUAGUACUUAGAUCUAUUUAGAGCACUGCACAUUAUUCUCUUUUUAAUCUUCGUUUUAAUUUAAUUGAUUUUCACUUUUCCCAAGUUCUUCACAUAAUAGUACUUGAAAUUUAUUUAGAGUAAUGAGUAUUGCAACAUUAUUCUCUCUUUAUACAUUUUGUUUCUUUUUAUUUACUUUAAGCACUAGAUUUUCAUUUAUACACCUUAUGAAAACAACAAUAUGAUUAAUAUUAAUAUGAUUGCAGGUUAUACAUAAAUUUAUCUCUAUAUUUAUUGGUUCCUUAUAUCGAGGACUUGAAAGAUAAGCAAGUAAUUUGCUUAAGCUGCUUCAGAAUUGAGAGGGAGAUUGCAGAAUAGGAAUGGAAAGGAAAAAGACGAAAAAGAGGAAACAAAUGAGAAAGGAAAGAAAAAUAGGAGAAGAAAUAUGUACUUGGGUUUAUUUUCUAAAAGUGAUAACUUUUUUUAAUUUGAGGAAAUAUGUUGUUCAUCUUGUUCUAAUUUUUAGAAGAUAUCAAUUAAGAAUCAUUUGUCUUUAGAUUGUUUAUCCCAGCAAAAAAUGAAGGAAAACAAAAGAGGGUCCGAAAUUUCUUAUAUUUACAUAACUCGCUUUUUAUUCCAUGUAUUUGGUGUUUAAAUUAAAUAAAUAAAUUUUAUUUUA
Long non-coding RNA from Lycium ferocissimum, 1368 nucleotides. RefSeq lists it as uncharacterized. The transcript is spliced from 2 exons. NCBI's taxonomy places the organism in Eukaryota, Viridiplantae, Streptophyta, Magnoliopsida, Solanales, Solanaceae. The record is from RefSeq and is a predicted model, not a curated record.